CGUCAAGUUGAGCCCUCAGAUCCUCGAUCUCAUUUAAAAUCCUCUGAGAAUCAUCGCAAGCCACCUUCAAAUGUUCUGCCCAUGGGUGACAAUAUUAAAGCAUGGCAUGAAGACAAGCGUGAAAGAUCUAAGUAGAUUUUCAGUUCUGCCCCAAAAUCCUGGCCUGUUGAGGCUGCAGAAACCAAGAAAACAUUUCCCUUCAGUAAGUGCAAGCUAUAUAUCCCACCACAGGUACAGCUAGGUGAGCAAUCUAUCACAAAGUCUGUUCCUGAGAAUAGUACAUGUUACAGCUGAACAUAAACAUAGUAAAACGAACUAGAGAAUGAGAUGGCUGGACACAAACUGAUUUUUUUCAACAAAACUAAAAUAAUAAGAUGUGUGAUGUGCCAACAAAACUGAUGAUCCAAGCAACCAAUUAGUGUCAGCAUAUCAAGUCAGCCUUCAGAAACCUUGGACGCUUGAUUCUGACUAAUUAUCACUGUUGAUUUCUCUUGACAUUUACCUAAGUUAAUUCAAGUGUAAUUGUUCCCCGCUAACUGUACCACGUCACUACACUCUGUUGCUACAAAUUCCACCACUCAGAUAGUCAGAUUGCUAAUCCUGAAGCCCAAAAGGUCUCCAUUCGUUAGCCAAUUGAAAGAGUAUGUGACCCUAACCCAAGGUCGCAGUACAGUUCAAAAAAAAAA
Panicum virgatum (switchgrass) is the source of this 686-nucleotide long non-coding RNA. RefSeq lists it as uncharacterized. The record is from RefSeq and is a predicted model, not a curated record. The transcript has 2 exons. Lineage: Eukaryota; Viridiplantae; Streptophyta; Magnoliopsida; Poales; Poaceae.